UGGGUGGAUUAGGACUGUUUGUGAUUUGGUCUUAGUGUGACUUAGGACUCCUUUUCACUACUCCUAAAGUUUCACAGAUUUAGGAGCUAGUUUUAGCACUAAAAUGCUUUGUGAAAUACUCUUAGGGCAAAAAUGUAGGACUCCUAAAAUUAGGACUGACACGCCCAUUAUUUUUAAGAGUUUCUCCUAAAUCGUCAAUUUAAGAACUAUUAAGAUGUUAAUAGUUAAGAUGUUUUGUGAAUACGGCCCCAGAAUAUCAGUAUUUUAAUAGAGAUAUUUACAAUUAUAUCAAAUGUAUACAAAGCAGAAACAUUUGCUUGACCAGCUGCAACAGCAGCACAUUGCAAAAUGAUUUACUUACCUCCAACUCUUGCAAGAACACAAUGCUUUGCUUUUGCUCUCCGCAUCUCCCCAAUCAAUUUAUCCUGGAAAUUGUUCUAAAAGAAGUAUAAACACUCUAAAACAGAGAGACUAUCACUUAAUUUUCAUAAUGUUUUUUUUCUUUUUAUGAUUUUCACAAAUCAGCGCACAGACUGUUUGGUAUAACGUUAGAACUCCGGUCACACAGUCGUGAUCUCGUUAUUCCCUUGUCACUUCUCACGUGUUUUGUUGUGAAACAUAGUUUGCGGACAGGACAGAGUUGUCGGCGAUUGUUCCUCUUGAAAAGUCAUGCAAUAUGUAACCCCUGUCCAUCAUGCAGAGUGAACACAGCAGUGACUGAAGGAUACCCCAGAUAGUCAUGCAGUCUGAAAGGAGCUGUGUUCUGACUACUUUGAAAAUCGUGCAGUGUGAACUUGGCAUGAGGUACCUCACAAAACUGAUUUUGGACAGACUAAUGAGCCUGUAUGUGCAGUGCUGGGAGUGUUCCAGGAAACCCCUGAUCUAUAUCGACUUGAUGUGGGGCACCAAAGGGUAACCUGACACAUCUGUUUGAACUGUGAAAAAGGAAAAAAAAAAAAAGUGGCACAAUUAUUUUUCAUUAAUUUUUUUUUUCUUUUCAAAGGGCCGUUGGGAGAGCGAGGAGUGAGGAGCUGCGCUAAUGUUGUUUUGU
Molecule: long non-coding RNA, 1051 nt
Organism: Cyprinus carpio carpio
Lineage: Eukaryota; Metazoa; Chordata; Actinopteri; Cypriniformes; Cyprinidae
Source: Ensembl